UUUAGUCAGGUUAAAUCCUUGCGUGGGCCGAGCGGGUAAUGUAACGGAACGUAACUACAGCAUAAGGUAGUGGUGUUUUAAUUAAUAAUAGGUGUGAGCGAGACGGUUUAUGAGUGAGCAGGCACGCAUAUGACGCCGUGUAAGGGUCUGGGCUGCGCAAGCGGCACGGACAGAGGCUAACAGCUGUUUCCGCGGCCGGUCGACAUAAAUUGAUUUAAGAAGAUUUCAACGCGUGCUCAAUAUACAUAAUUACUAAAAUUAACAGUUACGUAAUAAAUAUAUAGUGUGUAUUGGAUAAAUCCCGCUCUAGGGUCCUAAGUUACCGCUGACGUUGAACCUGCCUUGGUGCUUGCGGUUCUGAGGACGUCGCUCCGCAUCGAACGAUUCCUGUCUUCCUGGCGCUGGAAGAUCACCGCAUCCAGAUCGCCGAGCGUGACUGAACGGGAUCUCGCAGGAGAGUACCAACUAUAGCAGAAUCCGAUAGAACCUACCACGACUUUCUUUUUUUUUUAAUCGUGUUACCCUACCAUAAUAUAAAUUUUAUAUUAUAAAUUCUUAUUAAAAUUAAUUAAAAUUAGAAAUUUAACUGAGGCACUA
Long non-coding RNA from Leptidea sinapis, 597 nucleotides. RefSeq lists it as uncharacterized. The record is from RefSeq and is a predicted model, not a curated record. NCBI's taxonomy places the organism in Eukaryota, Metazoa, Arthropoda, Insecta, Lepidoptera, Pieridae. The transcript has 2 exons.